Molecule: ribosomal RNA, 469 nt
Filed under: Filifactor alocis
Lineage: Bacteria; Bacillati; Bacillota; Clostridia; Peptostreptococcales; Filifactoraceae
Description: bacterial SSU rRNA
Rfam family: Bacterial small subunit ribosomal RNA
Source: RNAcentral
GAGUUUGAUUAUGGCUCAGGAUGAACGCUGGCGGCGUGCUUAACACAUGCAAGUCGAACGAACGACUAUUAACAGAACCUUUCGGGGCGAAGAUGAUAGAAGUUAGUGGCGGACGGGUGCGUAACGCGUGGGUAAUCUGCCUUUGUCAAAGGAAUAACUAUUCGAAAGAAUAGCUAAAACUGUAUAAAAUAUUAAUAGGGCAUCCUAAUAAUAUCAAAACGAUAGUGGACAAAGAUGAGCCCGCGUCUGAUUAGCUAGUUGGUGAGAUAAAAGCCCACCAAGGCAACGAUCAGUAGCCGACCUGAGAGGGUGAACGGCCACAUUGGAACUGAGACACGGUCCGAACUCCUACGGGAGGCAGCAGUGGGGAAUAUUGCACAAUGGGGGGAACCCUGAUGCAGCAACGCCGCGUGAGUGAAGAAGGCAUUCGUGUCGUAAAACUCUGUAGUAGGGGAAGAAAGAAAUGACA